Molecule: ribosomal RNA, 446 nt
Filed under: uncultured bacterium
Lineage: Bacteria
Description: bacterial SSU rRNA
Rfam family: Bacterial small subunit ribosomal RNA
Source: RNAcentral
UGCCAGACUCCUACGGGAGGCAGCAGUGGGGAAUAUUGCACAAUGGGGGAAACCCUGAUGCAGCGACGCCGCGUGAGUGAAGAAGUAUUUCGGUAUGUAAAGCUCUAUCAGCAGGGAAGAAAAUGACGGUACCUGAUUAAGAAGCCCCGGCUAACUACGUGCCAGCAGCCGCGGUAAUACGUAGGGGGCAAGCGUUAUCCGGAUUUACUGGGUGUAAAGGGAGCGUAGACGGCUGUGCAAGCCUGAAGUGAAAGGCGGGGGCCCAACCCCUGGACUGCUUUGGGAACUGUACGGCUGGAGUGCAGGAGAGGUAAGUGGAAUUCCUAGUGUAGCGGUGAAAUGCGUAGAUAUUAGGAGGAACACCAGUGGCGAAGGCGGCUUACUGGACUGUAACUGACGUUGAGGCUCGAAAGCGUGGGGAGCAAACAGGAUUAGAUACCCCUGUA